This 623-nucleotide non-coding RNA is filed under the name Pan troglodytes (chimpanzee). The record is from RNAcentral. Lineage: Eukaryota; Metazoa; Chordata; Mammalia; Primates; Hominidae.
GCGACCGGGGGCUGCCUGGGCAAGGGCGGGGCGAGAGGGCAGAACGCCUGCUCUCGGACAGGGUGUUCUUAAAAUACACCGGAAAGAACGGAGGUAAAAAUACUGGAGUGUUUCCUCCACACUGGAAAGAGGGCAGCGCUGUGAACAAUGGAGCCAUCAAAAAGGCCUUCUCCCAGCCUCCUCACCAACCACGGACAUUCCUGGCCCAACAAGCCCUCCUGGCCAGGUUUUGAGCCCUGCUUCCCAGAUCUGGGGACCCUUCACCUGCCUCUACUACUGCAAAUGAUUGGAUAUUCGUCUGCCUUGGCUCUUCCCUAAUGUGUGGAACUAAUUUUGUUCACUCUGUUUCAUGCUGGACCUGGCCUGAAAAUGGGCCCUUAUAUUGUCUUUGCACUUUCCAACUUGCCAAGUUUCUGAAAGAAGGACCAAAGUAAUGCCAAGAACUCCCAGAUGAAGAGGACCUUCCUUAGACCUAUAACAGAUUCACUACUUGACUUUAGAGGGAAGUUUCAGCUAAUUCUCAGGAAAAGGUCAAAACAGGCCUGUGACUGUCCCUUGAAUACUGAAGGUAUAAACAAGCUUCUGGCUCCUCCAGGUCAAGCAGAGGAACACUUUUAUUAGAA